RNAcentral lists this ribosomal RNA (253 nucleotides) under uncultured bacterium. RNAcentral describes it as "partial 16S ribosomal RNA". It matches the Rfam family "Bacterial small subunit ribosomal RNA", at positions 524 to 776 of the family's 1533-position model. The record is from RNAcentral.
UACAGAGGGUGCGAGCGUUAAUCGGAAUUACUGGGCGUAAAGCGUGCGUAGACGGUUAUUUAAGUCGGGUGUGAAAGCCCCGGGCUCAACCUGGGAAUUGCAUUCGAGACUGAAUAGCUAGGGUACGGUAGAGGGAAGUGGAAUUUCCGGUGUAGCGGUGAAAUGCGUAGAUAUCGGAAGGAACAUCAGUGGCGAAGGCGGUGAUCUGGGCCGACACUGACGCUGUAGAGCGAAAGCGUGGGGAGCGAACAGG